RNAcentral lists this long non-coding RNA (1647 nucleotides) under Gossypium barbadense (sea-island cotton). RNAcentral's name for it is "long non-coding RNA (GBAR_LNC015970)". The record is from RNAcentral. Lineage: Eukaryota; Viridiplantae; Streptophyta; Magnoliopsida; Malvales; Malvaceae.
AACGAAGAAAACGAAUUUGGAUCGAGGAAAAACGAAAGUAAUCGAAUAGUCGAUCGUGUCCGCUGAUAUCCGAGGUAAGUCUAUUAGCAAUUAAAAUUUAUUAUGUUAAUAUUUAUUCAUGUAUACUAAUUGUAUUUGGAGUUGAGCUAUAAUUAAAAGUAUAUUGAUUGAGUAAAUUUUUAAGUAUGGAUGAUAUUUAUAUAUAUAGAAUGUUCGAAUAUAAAAGUAUAAUCUUGUAUAGAUUUAUGGGUUGAAAUAAAGGUAAGAAAUGUAUAAGAGUAUAGUUGAUAUUCGAAUAAGCAUGUAUAUAUAUAUAUGUAUAUAUAUAUAAUGCUAGAAUAUAUAUAUAAAAGUUAUUGAAAUUAGUUAAAGUAUGAAUAUUGCAUAGGUAUAAAUUCUUGAUUUUAAUUAAAGAAUUGUAUAAUAUAUAUAUGUGUAUAAACUCAUGGAUUUAUUUGAAGUUAUGUAACCCACAAUUGUAAGAGAAGUUUUAAAUAGAUAUGUACAUGUGAAUUAUAAUUUAUAUAUAUAUGCUAUAUUUGAAUAAGCAUGCUUACAUAUAUGUAUAUGUUCUUAUAAUGAAUUUUAAGUAUGAGUGUUAUAUAUAUACAUAUGCAUAAAUUAAGUUCGAAUAUGUAUAUAUAUAUAUAUAAAUAUAAAUGUACAUCUAUUAUAUAUUUGAUGAGCUAAAAAUUUAAAAGUAUAUGUAUUGAAAUUAGGUAUGGAAUUAUAUAUUGAUAUACAUGGUUGAUUGUAUAUAUAUAUAUAUAGGUUUAAGAUUUGCAUUGAACUAAAAGUAUAAAUUUUAAAUGCUUGCAUGAUUCAAACAUGGACUACCAAUUUUCUUGAGAUAGAGUUGAGAUUGUGAAUUAUAUAUAAAUGUUAUGAAUGUAUGUUGUUAUUAAGAAAUAUACGAGAAAUCAUCCUUGUAUCUGUGAAAUUGAGAUUUUCAGGCUAAGCGCCUAGCAGGCUACGUGCCGGUGAUUUGAAUCGAGUUAUAAACCUAGCAGGCUACGUGCCGGUGAUUUGAAUCGGGUUAUAAACCUAGCAGGCUACGUGCCGGUGAUCUGAAUCAAGCUAUAAGUCUAGCAGUCUAUGUGCCGUUGAAUCUGUUUUAAUUAAGUGAUUGUAUACAUUGAAUAUAUAUAUGUAUAUGAUUUGGUUAUUUAUAUUGGAUUAAUAUAUGAACAUCUGUUGCUAUGUUUUUGAAGAGCAUUUAAAAGCUCGAAUCUUUGUGUCUGGUAAGUAUAUAUAUAUAUCUAUGCGUUCGACAUAUGUGAACUAAAGUAUAUAUACAUAUAUGUGUGCAUUCGGCAUGUGUGGCCGAUAAGUAUAUUUGGAAUAUAUAUAUGCAAUUAAUGAUGAUGUAUAUAACUUAAUUUUUUUUAUGUAUAUAAUGAUAAUACAAGUGAUCGUUAAUAUGUAUUUUGGAUAUGCUAUAAACUUAUUGAGUUUUAGAAGCUUACUUUGAUUGUUUUUGUUUAUUUGUUUAUAGAUUUUGGAGACGCGUUACGAGUUCGGGGAUCGUCAGCUUAGUCUAUCACACUAUCGACCGUUCUUGGUAUUUUGUAUAUUUUGAACUCGAACCUAUGGCAUGUAUAGUCUAGUUAAUAUGUUUAAAUUAUUUUUUUGAUAUGUAAAUAUGAG